Molecule: long non-coding RNA, 348 nt
Organism: Sciurus carolinensis (gray squirrel)
Lineage: Eukaryota; Metazoa; Chordata; Mammalia; Rodentia; Sciuridae
Exons: 3
Source: RefSeq, a predicted model, not a curated record
CCCCAUCUUGUUUUCUGUCUCCCCGGUCCCUUCACCAACUCCUUUCUCCUCUCUCCUCUACCAUUAUCUUCAGUUAUUCUGUCCCCCAGGUUCUGCCAUUUGCAUCUACACCCAUGCCAGCACCACCAGUCCAUCUGGAGAAGGGAGAAGGCAUAUAUACAGGAAAUGCUCAAGCAGGAAAUUCAAUGGCCAGUGAAUGAAAAAGAGAGACUCAUGCUCUAAAGGCAUCUUCUCCCCUAGCUGUUUAGAUUCUCCUAGAAGACCAGAUGCAAGCAUUUGAGAACAAAUGGUUUAUUUGGAAGAUAAUCCCCAGAAAACACCACUAGGGAAAUAAAAAAAGUGAGACAG